UACGUAGGGUGCGAGCGUUAAUCGGAAUUACUGGGCGUAAAGCGUGCGCAGGCGGUUUUGUAAGUCAGAUGUGAAAUCCCCGGGCUUAACCUGGGAAUGGCAUUUGGGACUGCAAGGCUCGAGUGCGGCAGAGGAGACUGGAAUUCCUGGUGUAGCAGUGAAAUGCGUAGAUAUCAGGAGGAACACCGAUGGCGAAGGCAGCCCCCUGGGUCAAGAUUGACGCUCAUGCACGAAAGCGUGGGGAGCAAACAGG
This 253-nucleotide ribosomal RNA is filed under the name uncultured bacterium. Its description in RNAcentral is "partial 16S ribosomal RNA". It matches the Rfam family "Bacterial small subunit ribosomal RNA", at positions 524 to 776 of the family's 1533-position model. The record is from RNAcentral.